AUUGAACGCUGGCGGCAGGCUUAACACAUGCAAGUCGAACGAUGACUCUCUAGCUUGCUAGAGAAGAUUAGUGGCGGACGGGUGAGUAACAUUUAGGAAUCUGCCUAGUAGUGGGGGAUAGCUCGGGGAAACUCGAAUUAAUACCGCAUACGACCUACGGGUGAAAGGGGGCGCAAGCUCUUGCUAUUAGAUGAGCCUAAAUCAGAUUAGCUAGUUGGUGGGGUAAAGGCCCACCAAGGCGACGAUCUGUAACUGGUCUGAGAGGAUGAUCAGUCACACCGGAACUGAGACACGGUCCGGACUCCUACGGGAGGCAGCAGUGGGGAAUAUUGGACAAUGGGGGCAACCCUGAUCCAGCCAUGCCGCGUGUGUGAAGAAGGCCUUUUGGUUGUAAAGCACUUUAAGCAGGGAGGAGAGGCUAAUGGUUAAUACCCAUUAGAUUAGACGUUACCUGCAGAAUAAGCACCGGCUAACUCUGUGCCAGCAGCCGCGGUAAUACAGAGGGUGCGAGCGUUAAUCGGAAUUACUGGGCGUAAAGCGAGUGUAGGUGGCUCAUUAAGUCACAUGUGAAAUCCCCGGGCUUAACCUGGGAACUGCAUGUGAUACUGGUGGUGCUAGAAUAUGUGAGAGGGAAGUAGAAUUCCAGGUGUAGCGGUGAAAUGCGUAGAGAUCUGGAGGAAUACCGAUGGCGAAGGCAGCUUCCUGGCAUAAUAUUGACACUGAGAUUCGAAAGCGUGGGUAGCAAACAGGAUUAGAUACCCUGGUAGUCCACGCCGUAAACGAUGUCUACUAGCCGUUGGGGUCCUUGAGACUUUAGUGGCGCAGUUAACGCGAUAAGUAGACCGCCUGGGGAGUACGGCCGCAAGGUUAAAACUCAAAUGAAUUGACGGGGGCCCGCACAAGCGGUGGAGCAUGUGGUUUAAUUCGAUGCAACGCGAAGAACCUUACCUGGUCUUGACAUAGUGAGAAUCUCUCAGAGAUGAGAGAGUGCCUUCGGGAACUCACAUACAGGUGCUGCAUGGCUGUCGUCAGCUCGUGUCGUGAGAUGUUGGGUUAAGUCCCGCAACGAGCGCAACCCUUUUCCUUAUUUGCCAGCGGGUUAAGCCGGGAACUUUAAGGAUACUGCCAGUGACAAACUGGAGGAAGGCGGGGACGACGUCAAGUCAUCAUGGCCCUUACGACCAGGGCUACACACGUGCUACAAUGGUAGGUACAGAGGGUUGCUACACAGCGAUGUGAUGCUAAUCUCAAAAAGCCUAUCGUAGUCCGGAUUGGAGUCUGCAACUCGGCUCCAUGAAGUCGGAAUCGCUAGUAAUCGCGGAUCAGACUGCCGCGGUGAAUACGUUCCCGGGCCU
Molecule: ribosomal RNA, 1355 nt
Filed under: uncultured bacterium
Lineage: Bacteria
Description: bacterial SSU rRNA
Rfam family: Bacterial small subunit ribosomal RNA
Source: RNAcentral